This 451-nucleotide long non-coding RNA is filed under the name Manacus vitellinus (golden-collared manakin). Its description in RNAcentral is "lncRNA (ENSMVIG00005009155.1)". The record is from RNAcentral. Lineage: Eukaryota; Metazoa; Chordata; Aves; Passeriformes; Pipridae.
GUGGUCCUCACCUCUGCCUUGGAGACCUCAGGGAUGCAGGGUGAAUAUUUUUAACUCUCUCACCUAACACUGCACCUGAAACUGAAGUCCAGAUAUAUUAAAGACAGGCAGUGAAAUCCCUGGAACAUACUCAGGGUUUCCAGAAACUUGCCACUAUUUGGAUCUCUCUUUCUUCUUAGAGUCUCUGGAAUCAGCUGUAAGUGUCCCCACAUCAGUGAUGCUGAAAGCCAGGGCAGAUGGCUUCAGUCCCCUGCAGUGUGACCUUCGGGGUAAGAUCUGCUUUCCUUUCUCUGCAUGGGACUGAUGGGUGCAUCAGUUAUUGUGUUCCUUAGUUGACUUAGCAAAAGGGAAGUUAGCUGAUUGAAUUAUAUGGUACCUUUUACUUUAAAGGUUUACUUAUUUAUUUAAGCAGUAUUUAUACUACAAUACUGACUGAUUCCUCAGAUUUCCA